UAAUUUAAGGGCCGCGGUAUUACUAACCGUGCAAAGGUAGCAUAAUCAUUAGAUUUUUAAUUGGAGUCUUGUAUGAAUGGUUGGACAAAAGGAAUACUGUCUUUAUAUUAAAAUUGAAUUUAACUUUUAAGUGAAAAGGCUUAAAUAAUCUAAAGGGACGAUAAGACCCUAUAAAGCUUUAUAUUAUAAUUAUAUUUUAUUGAGUUUAUAAAUAAAUUUUUAAUUUAAUUAUUUAUUGUGUUGGGGAGAUAUAAAUAUAAUUUAUAUUAACUGUAAGAUUAUAAAACAAAUAUUAAUGAA
RNAcentral lists this ribosomal RNA (300 nucleotides) under Louisea nkongsamba. RNAcentral's name for it is "partial large subunit ribosomal RNA". Lineage: Eukaryota; Metazoa; Arthropoda; Malacostraca; Decapoda; Potamonautidae. The record is from RNAcentral.